This 262-nucleotide ribosomal RNA is filed under the name Toxoplasma gondii. Its description in RNAcentral is "partial small subunit ribosomal RNA". It matches the Rfam family "Eukaryotic small subunit ribosomal RNA", at positions 90 to 351 of the family's 1831-position model. The record is from RNAcentral. Lineage: Eukaryota; Apicomplexa; Conoidasida; Eucoccidiorida; Sarcocystidae.
CGAAUGGCUCAUUAAAACAGUUAUAGUUUAUUUGAUGGUCUUUACUACAUGGAUAACCGUGGUAAUUCUAUGGCUAAUACAUGCGCACAUGCCUCUUCCCCUGGAAGGGCAGUGUUUAUUAGAUACAGAACCAACCCACCUUCCGGUGGUCCUCAGGUGAUUCAUAGUAACCGAACGGAUCGCGUUGACUUCGGUCUGCGACGGAUCAUUCAAGUUUCUGACCUAUCAGCUUUCGACGGUACUGUAUUGGACUACCGUGGCA